This 408-nucleotide ribosomal RNA is filed under the name uncultured bacterium. RNAcentral's name for it is "partial 16S ribosomal RNA". It matches the Rfam family "Bacterial small subunit ribosomal RNA", at positions 29 to 526 of the family's 1533-position model. The record is from RNAcentral.
AGUGAACGCUGGCGGCGUGCCUAAUACAUGCAAGUCGAACGGAGUGGCGCACGGGUGAGUAAUAUAUAGCUAAUCUGCCCCUUGCUGGAGGACAACAGUUAGAAAUGACUGCUAAUACUCCAUAGCAAGGGAUGGGACUAUAUCGUAUCAGCUAGUCGGUGGGGUAACGGCCUACCGAGGCUAUGACGCGUAACUGGUCUGAGAGGAUGAUCAGUCACAUUGGAAGUGAGGCACGAGCCGGACUCCUACGGGAAGGAGCAGUAGGGAAUAUUGCGCAAGGGGGGAAAGCCAGACGCAGCAACGCCGCGUAGAGGAUGACACUUUGCGGAGCGUAAACUCCUUUUGAUAGGGAAGCGGUACCUAACGAAUAAGCACCGGCUAACUCCGUGCCAGCAGCCGCGGUAAUUC